CUCUAUAGCCAUGCUACUCUGAACACACCCGAUCCUGUUUGAUCUCAGAAGCUAAGCAGGGUCGGGCCUGGUUAGUACUUGGAUGGGAGACCACCUAGGAAGAGCAGGUGCCGUAGGUG
RNAcentral lists this ribosomal RNA (119 nucleotides) under Pteropus alecto (black flying fox). Lineage: Eukaryota; Metazoa; Chordata; Mammalia; Chiroptera; Pteropodidae. The record is from RNAcentral.